UACGAAGGUCCCAAGCGUUGUUCGGAAUCAUUGGGCGUAAAGGGCGCGUAGGCGGUGCCGUAAGUCUGGUGUGAAAUCCCCGAGCUUAACUCGGGUCCCGCGCCAGAGACUGCGGUGCUUGAGUGUGGGAGAGGAGAGUGGAAUUCCCGGUGUAGCGGUGAAAUGCGUAGAUAUCGGGGGGAACACCCGUGGCGAAGGCGGCUCUCUGGACCACUACUGACGCUGAGGCGCGAAAGCCGGGGGAGCAAACAGG
This 253-nucleotide ribosomal RNA is filed under the name uncultured bacterium. Its description in RNAcentral is "partial 16S ribosomal RNA". It matches the Rfam family "Bacterial small subunit ribosomal RNA", at positions 524 to 776 of the family's 1533-position model. The record is from RNAcentral.